This 900-nucleotide long non-coding RNA is filed under the name Mus musculus (house mouse). RNAcentral describes it as "long non-coding RNA chr1:87449869-87450769". Lineage: Eukaryota; Metazoa; Chordata; Mammalia; Rodentia; Muridae. The record is from RNAcentral.
UGGCCUGGGACAGGGACUUAAUUUUCCUUUCAUAUAAAAACUGAUCUCCCCUCCUCCCAUAAAUAUUUUUACUUCAAGGACUAGGACCAGUUUGUUUUGGGCCCUUAUGUGAAAAUUUGUCUCGUUUAAGAGGCAUCUUUACCAUAUGUAUGAAUUUGUGUAAUUUCAACUCGGAUAGGGAUAAACUUUUGCUUCUGAUAAAAGCUGGGAAUUUCAUCUGUUCCUCAGAGCACCGUGUGCAUGUUUUGCCAUGGCCCUGAAAAGGUCUUGUGAAAAGAUUCUGGGAUGGCAAGUUGUUUGCCUUUUCUGAAAAGAGAACAUACAAAGCCUGACCAUCUUUAAGACCUUCAUCCGUGGAAACCACUAUGCAGGAGGAUGCAAUGGGGUAUGGGGAUGGCAGGCACAGGAGUGGGAGGCCUGCUCCAUAGCAAGGCCAAGUGUACUCAAGCUCUGUACAGACAGACUCUGACUGCUUCUGCUCCUCGCCUAGUGAACAUCACCUGGGAUAGUCGAACACCUCGGCGGCAGCUGUGGGUCAGCUGGGCCUGUGCAAGAGGUGCUGUGGUGGGCAGCUCGGCAUCUGUGCCUGGACAAGGCUGGAGUUGCUCUCAGAGCAGUUUGGUAUUGGAAGAUUAUAUUUGGUUUCUAUUUUUAUUAUUUUGCAUCACCAUUCUCCCUAUCCUUUCUUGCCUCUCUCCCUCCUAAAUGUGUACAAUAACUAUACAGAGACUGCUACAAACUUGUAAAUAGUUUUUGGAUCAAAUAGCAUAAGGAGAUAGGAACCAUUAAAAUGUGAGACUCCUCUCCUUUGCUUUGUAAAUUCAAAAGGGGGGGUGGGGAAGAGGGAUAGUUAAAAUGUUUACAAAACUUUAAGCUCCCUCGGAACUUUUGCCAGUGUGG